Molecule: long non-coding RNA, 3917 nt
Organism: Homo sapiens (human)
Lineage: Eukaryota; Metazoa; Chordata; Mammalia; Primates; Hominidae
Exons: 4
Source: RefSeq, a predicted model, not a curated record
GCUCAUCCCUGAUUUCCUCCAACACAGUGCUUCUGCAGCUCUGCUGUCCUUUCAGUUCCCUGGAUGCAUCAGUCCUUCUCAAGUCUGUUCUUUGAGCAGAACAUUCUCUUCCUUAUUUUUAGUAAACCUGUCCAAAUAUUUUGUCCUUCAUAUCUCAGCUUAAAUAUAACUACCGCAGGGAAAUCUUUCUCGAGCCUCAGACUAGGCUGAAUGUCUUUCUUACUCAUUUUUUACAAAAGUGUGAACUGAAACUUCAGAGGAAAGAUGACUGAGGGAAAGAAUCUGGCAUGACAAAGGAUGCUACUCAAAACUGGCAAGAAAACAAGAACGUGCAAAUAGCAAAAUAAAACUAAGCUACCUGAAAAUAAUUGAAACCCAAUCGCUCUUAAAACAGGACCUGCUCUCUCUUCCUCUCUGAGUUCCUAUGUGAUGCCCAUAACUUGACAGGACAAUUCCACGGUUUGGCUAGAAUCUGACGGAAACGUGUAGCAAAAUGUUUAGUGGCUUCCACUUGCCACGGUUCAGCAGUUUUCAUUUUUAAAUGGAUAUUCAUCUUGUUAAAAUAUUUACUUUAUUGUGAAACUACAGGCAGAUUUAUCUCACAUAGAAGAAGCUAUAGGUAUAACAGGCAUAUGGAGUUCAUUCACCAAGGAAGAAUCCAGAAGUUUCUCUUCAAGUAAGUAUAUCAAUGCCCUUAUCCUAUGAUUAGCCAUUUGUGUAAUAUUGGGAUUUGAAAUAUCCAGGUAUCUUAUAUGUUUCUGGUAUACAAAUAUGGCCUGCUAAAAACUGUGAAAAGGAAACCAAGCACAGAGAACCAAACAUACGUGUAAAAGGAUUUGAACCUGUAGACAUGUUUAGCCCAGGUUCAUUUUGAAAGAUGGGCAGAAAACUUGGUUAGUUUAUUCUUACUGUAUCCAAACCCAUGAUAAUGUCCCCCUCUGAAAGACAGAGAUAUAGAAAGAGUAUAAUUACUGAUGGAAAACUAGUGCAGAUAAAAUAACCUAAGCUUUAAUCCAAACCUCAAACCAUAAGCCCAACCCAAGACUUUUUUUAGGUUUGUAUAGGUUCAGAUAACUUUGGACUUUUAGAAAACAUCAUUUUUGCAAAGUGACACUUCUUGCUUUGUACUGUUAAGAAUAAGCAGGGUAAAUAUAGAGUAUAAGGACAACUCCUGUUAAGAUCCUGAGUUCCUGGCUGACCUUUUGCAAUUGCUUGCCAGCUGAUGAGCUAGAACAAAGAGAGAAUGCAAGGGAUAUAUGUGAGUAAUCCAAUUUAACAGUCAUUAUUGACUCCCUGGAAGAGCUCAACGUGCUAUCAAAAGACAUGAAAUUUAAUCAUAAGAAAAUAAAACUAUGACUACAUAAUGUCUAACCAAUGAGGUCAUGUAUAAGUUAAAAUUUCCCACGUAUAUACAUCAUUUGUUAUUUUACUUCAUGCCAAAUUUCACUAGAAUUAUAGAACAAUAGGAUUUUCUUUCUCAUCUUUUUUUCUUGUAUUUUCUUACUCUACCUCUCUCUCUUUUUUCUUCCAUUUUUUUCCUUUUCUUUUCUUUCUUCCUUUUUCUUUUUUUCCUUACAUAGUAAAGGCUGAAUGGAUAGCAUUCUGCUAGGCAGUUUAAGGGAGCAUUAUAAGAACUCUUCUUUGAUCCCAAGAAGUAUAUCACCAGCUAUCUAUUUUUUACCCUGAAAAAAGGGGACUGCAGAUACCAAUAACAGACUUAUUCUAUAUUUUCUUAUUUAACUUUAGAAUAAAAUAUGUCUUAGCCCUUUCCUUUUCUUUUCUUUUUAGAAGUAUCUAAAAAUUGUAUUACUUAAGGAUACUUCCUAAAAAGACUGUAAGGAAAAUCUAUUGUUUACCUAGCCUCCUCCUUUUCUUAAACAAUUGUUUCUUUCUGUAUGCUCCAUGUGGUUCUAAUAAGAACUGCUACCCUGGCCACAGGUGAUGGGUUCAGAUGUAGGGCCGAGCAGAGAUGGGUAGGGUUCCACCAUGCUUUUCAGAUGAGCCUAAAGGAAGGGAGGCAUCCCCCUUGCAGUGGCUGUGUUUCUUGGAAUACAGAGGGAGCCAGUCUCAGAAUGGAGUCAACUAUCCACACAGAAAGAAAGAGAGAAGUAGACAGAGUGUUGCUCUUAUUUGUGGUCUUGCUUCUAAGAGUGCCUGUGGCAGAGAGUAGAACCCUAACCAUACCACACUUGACUAUUGAGAUUUAUGGGAUAUUCAUGAGGAAGCCAACAAUAAUUCAAAAUGUGAUGAGCAAAGAGUUUGGGGCAUUUAAAAAUUAACCUUUUUUCAAUACGGUUAGUUCAAUAGGGCGGCUCUCCUUAAAAUGUAGUAGUCCUGAGCAAAAUAAAAAUUCAGAGAUAGUUCAAGAGAGUGCUAGGUGUAAAAGAUAAGUUAUGAUGUGUUGACAUAAAGAAGACUUUAGUUGUCACUAGAAAUGUUCCUGUCACAGAUUUGCAAAGAAAAGACAAAUGAUUUGAAACAAUGGAUUGAUCUAUUGAUCUAGUAUCAGACAGACUUUUGUUCAAAUCCUGGUUCUGUCUUUUAAUAACUGACCAACUUUGGCCAAGUUACUUGACCUCUAUCUUUCCAUUUUCUCAUUUUAAAAAUGAGACAAAAGUACUACCCAACUUGUAGAGUUAUUUUGAGGAUUAAAAAUGACACAACCCUCAGGAGAGUGUGGGGCACGUAGUAAAUGUUAAAUAAAUGGUAGCUUAUUAGAGGUUUUUAUUGAUCAACUUCUCUGUGAGAGAUAUACAAGAACAAGCUUCUCCAACUCAGUUUUAAUCUUUUUAGUGAAGCAAUAUACAGAUAUAGUUUAAGCCCUUGUAUUUGCCCUCUGGCUAGAGGGAGGCGUAGCUAUAAAUUAAAGUAAAUAUGCUAGUGAGCAUGCCACAGCUGAAAUCAACUAAGGGGAGACUGCAAUGGGGAGAUGUAAAGAGGGUGAUGUACCAAGGAGGAAGGAGGUGUUUGCAGUUGAUUAAUUACACCUUGAUGUGACGUCUCCUCUGGUUGUAUGAGUUAGGGGUAACUGUGCUAAAGUGGAGUCUUGUAAGUUAAUGUUCUUGAAUUUAUGUAGAUAGCAAUUUAUGUGGGAACACCAGCUUCUUCACAUCAAGAGUCUGAGAGUUACCUCCUGCUUAAUGCUGCUUAUUCGUUCAAUGAAUAUGCAUUGCUUCCUUAUUACAGGUAAGGCAUUGUGUCAAGCACCAUGAUGAAAACAAGCAUGAUCCUCUGUCCUCAUGGAGCUUCCAUUUAAGUCUCUUUUCUGGGUCCUUCAUUAUGACUGAUACUCAUUUCCAGGGAGUUCUCUUCCAUGAUUCCUAUAACUAUUUUGUAAUUAUUUAUUUCCCAAAGAAUACUACAUGUUUUUCAUAUAUAGGUAGUUGGGUACUGGCUGUAUUUGUAUUGUCAAACAUUAAAUACAAUGGAACAACUAUCAUUUCCAUCGGAGCUGCUUGUAUCUGGUCUCCAUUAUCCCUCAGCCGCCUUCCUAAUAACCUGGAAAAUGGCAUGGCCCUUUUGUGAUGCAGAUUUUGAUAUCACCUCUUGCUGUCAACGCUUCCAAACACCACGUGACACUUGCCACUUAUCUUCAGUGGUUUCUGCUACUGAGCUUACUAGUGACUACAUCAAAGCUUAUCACUUCCAAAAUGCUUUUUUUUCGUAUCUGCUCUCAACUCCACCAGAAGUUCCUAGCUAUAUAUCAUCACAAUUUUUUUCUUUUAUUCUUUUUUCAAAAAGAGAUAUAUUCAGCAUAUUUCCAAAAUAACAUAUUCAAAGGAGGCACUGCAGAGACAAAUCAAGAGACUGGAGAUUUUUAUGGCAAAUUUGAAAUGCUAAAAAUAUUAUUUUGAAUUGGUAGCACAGUCUCCAAAUUACUAACAAUGUAAUAGAAUUUAUACGCAAAAAAAUUGCCG